UCAUAAAACGUGUUAGUUGUUACUACAUUAUCCACAAUUAAUUGAUAACUUAGGCUAUGUACAUGACUUCAUUAUACAUCCUUCUAACCUCCCCAAACUCAAUCUUUUGUAAUGGCAUUUCUUUUGAUUCAUUUGAACUCAGUACAAAAAGUAAUUGAAUUUGUACCCCUGAAUUUUGUAGGUAAGUUUACAACAAAUGAAGCUCUAUGCCCAACAGGGCUGGAUAAUAUAGCAAUGGCUUAUGAUUUUUUGGACUCUUUAUGGGAGUAGCCAUGACAGUCUAACAUCUCAGGUGGUCACUUAAACCCAGCCACAAACAUUUAUGCAAACAGAACUACUCAUCCUUCAUUAUUGUCCAUCCAAAGGUCAUUGAUGGAAGACCAGGGACAAUGGUAAUUGGGUCAUUUCUUGUUGAUGUACCAGGUGGGAACACUAAGGAUGAACACAUGUUGAGGCCUUCUGGAAGCUAUUUGGGUGCUAUUUAGUGUUCGUUGUGCCAUUUCAAAUCUCUAUAUGCAUUGUUGCGAGUAGUAAUGAAAGCAUAUUGUUGUAUAGAUAUUAAUGCAUUUUUACAAAUAGCGUGAAACAAUAUAUCCAUGGUUUUAUGAUUAA
Mercurialis annua (annual mercury) is the source of this 612-nucleotide long non-coding RNA. RefSeq lists it as uncharacterized. The record is from RefSeq and is a predicted model, not a curated record. NCBI's taxonomy places the organism in Eukaryota, Viridiplantae, Streptophyta, Magnoliopsida, Malpighiales, Euphorbiaceae. The transcript has 2 exons.